UCCGUAGGGUGAACCUGCGGAAGGAUCAUUACAGAAAGUAAACGCGGAUCAAACCGCGAACUUCUAAACCUUUGACGAUUGACUCAUGUUGCCUCGGCGGGUUCUCCCGCCAGAGGAUACGUCAAAACUCCUGUUUUAACGGUGUUGUCUGAGCUACAAGCAACGAAUCAAAACUUUCAACAACGGAUCUCUUGGUUCUGGCAUCGAUGAAGAACGCAGCGAAAUGCGAUAAGUAGUGUGAAUUGCAGAAUUCAGUGAAUCAUCGAAUCUUUGAACGCACAUUGCGCCCCUUGGUAUCCCGAGGGGCAUGCCUGUUCGAGCGUCAUUUCACCACUCAAGCCUGGCUUGGUGUUGGGCGACGUCCCCUUUGGGGACGCGCCUCGAAACGCUCGGCGGCGUGGCACCGGCUUUAAGCGUAGCAGAAUCUUUCGCUUUGAAAGUCGGGGCCCCGUCUGCCGGAAGACCUACUCGCAAGGUUGACCUCGGAUCAGGCAGGGAUACCCGCUGAACUUAAGCAUAUCAAUAAGCGGAGGAA
Molecule: ribosomal RNA, 535 nt
Filed under: uncultured Cenococcum geophilum
Lineage: Eukaryota; Fungi; Ascomycota; Dothideomycetes; Gloniales; Gloniaceae
Description: eukaryotic LSU rRNA
Rfam family: 5.8S ribosomal RNA (bases 172-325)
Source: RNAcentral